AGCAAAACUCAAGAAGACAAUGGUGACAAAGAAGGAUAAGCCGCGCUAUAACAUGCCAAACAAAGGCAAUAGCAACAAUGUUCAAGAAUAUGAGUCAGGAAAUAAAAGAUAUAGUUAAAGAAAUGGGAUUCGGUGCCCUAACACGUCCCGGAAAUGAAUGUCUCUAUGAUGAGUAUCAUGGAUGCCUGAAAACUCUCCAGGGAAAAAUACACAUAACUCCUCACAAGGUAGCAUCUGCACUGGGUAUAAGCAACGGCGGAAUCGUUUUCCUAAAAAGUUUGAUUAUGGUAAACUGAAUCCGGAAGACAAGGCAAUAUUUGACAGCCUCAAAAAUGUUACGUUGGUGACUUUGACAAAGUCUGUCCUGAAUAUGAGUGUU
Arachis stenosperma is the source of this 379-nucleotide long non-coding RNA. RefSeq lists it as uncharacterized. The record is from RefSeq and is a predicted model, not a curated record. The transcript has 3 exons. Lineage: Eukaryota; Viridiplantae; Streptophyta; Magnoliopsida; Fabales; Fabaceae.